RNAcentral lists this ribosomal RNA (251 nucleotides) under uncultured prokaryote. Its description in RNAcentral is "partial 16S rRNA". It matches the Rfam family "Bacterial small subunit ribosomal RNA", at positions 525 to 775 of the family's 1533-position model. The record is from RNAcentral.
ACGUAGGUCACAAGCGUUAUCCGGAUUUACUGGGCGUAAAGUGUCCGUAGCCUGAUACAUAAGUCUAUUUUCAAAUACCCCAGCUCAACUGGGGAAAGGGAAUAGAUACUGUGUAUCUGGAAGUUAUUGGAGGUUAGUGGAAUUUCCGGUUGAGCGGUAAAAUGUGUAGAUAUCGGAAAGAACGCCGAAAGCGAAAGCAGCUAACUACAGUAAACUUGACUGUGAUGGACGAAAGCUUGAUUAGCAAACGG